Molecule: non-coding RNA, 24 nt
Filed under: Arabidopsis thaliana (thale cress)
Lineage: Eukaryota; Viridiplantae; Streptophyta; Magnoliopsida; Brassicales; Brassicaceae
Source: RNAcentral
CACACCUUCGUGUAGGUAGUUGGA